GAUGAACGCUGGCGGCGUGCUUAACACAUGCAAGUCGAACGAAGCACUUUGAUCGAUUUCUUCGGAUUGAAAUUUUAGUGACUGAGUGGCGGACGGGUGAGUAACGCGUGGGUAACCUGCCUCACACAGGGGGAUAACAGUUGGAAACGGCUGCUAAUACCGCAUAAGCGCACAGUACCGCAUGGUACAGUGUGAAAAACUCCGGUGGUGUGAGAUGGACCCGCGUCUGAUUAGCCAGUUGGCGGGGUAACGGCCCACCAAAGCGACGAUCAGUAGCCGGCCUGAGAGGGUGAACGGCCACAUUGGGACUGAGACACGGCCCAAAAUCCUACGGGAGCAGCAGUGGGAAUAUUGGCACAAUGGGGGAAACCCUGAUGCAGCGA
RNAcentral lists this ribosomal RNA (383 nucleotides) under uncultured bacterium. RNAcentral's name for it is "bacterial SSU rRNA". It matches the Rfam family "Bacterial small subunit ribosomal RNA", at positions 28 to 394 of the family's 1533-position model. The record is from RNAcentral.